CGGCCCAGACUCUACGGGAGGCAGCAGUGGGGAAUAUUGCACAAUGGGCGCAAGCUGAUGCAGCGACGCCGCGUGAGGGAUGACGGCUUUCGGGUUGUAAACCUCUUUCAGUAGGGAAGAAGCGUAAGUGACGGUACCUGCAGAAGAAGCGCCGGCUAACUACGUGCCAGCAGCCGCGGUAAUACGUAGGGCGCGAGCGUUAUCCGGAAUUAUUGGGCGUAAAGAGCUCGUAGGCGGUUUGUCGCGUCUGCCGUGAAAGUCCGGGGCUCAACUCCGGAUCUGCGGUGGGUACGGGCAGACUAGAGUGAUGUAGGGGAGACUGGAAUUCCUGGUGUAGCGGUGAAAUGCGCAGAUAUCAGGAGGAACACCGAUGGCGAAGGCAGGUCUCUGGGCAUUAACUGACGCUGAGGAGCGAAAGCAUGGGGAGCGAACAGGAUUAGAUACCCUGGUAGUCCAUGCCGUAAACGUUGGGCACUAGGUGUGGGGGACAUUCCACGUUUUCCGCGCCGUAGCUAACGCAUUAAGUGCCCCGCCUGGGGAGUACGGCCGCAAGGCUAAAACUCAAAGGAAUUGACGGGGGCCCGCACAAGCGGCGGAGCAUGCGGAUUAAUUCGAUGCAACGCGAAGAACCUUACCAAGGCUUGACAUGGACCAGACCGGACUGGAAACAGUUCUUCCACUUGUGGCUGGUUUACAGGUGGUGCAUGGUUGUCGUCAGCUCGUGUCGUGAGAUGUUGGGUUAAGUCCCGCAACGAGCGCAACCCUCGUUCUAUGUUGCCAGCACGUGAUGGUGGGGACUCAUAGGAGACUGCCGGGGUCAACUCGGAGGAAGGUGGGGACGACGUCAAAUCAUCAUGCCCCUUAUGUCUUGGGCUUCACGCAUGCUACAAUGGCCGGUACAAAGGGUUGCGAUACUGUGAGGUGGAGCUAAUCCCAAAAAGCCGGUCUCAGUUCGGAUUGGGGUCUGCAACUCGACCCCAUGAAGUCGGAGUCGCUAGUAAUC
RNAcentral lists this ribosomal RNA (1003 nucleotides) under bacterium RK9_tank. RNAcentral describes it as "bacterial SSU rRNA". It matches the Rfam family "Bacterial small subunit ribosomal RNA", at positions 327 to 1343 of the family's 1533-position model. The record is from RNAcentral.